CGAGCGGCGAACGGGUGAGUAACACGUGGAUUAUCUGCCCUGAGGUGGGGGAGUAACCCGGGGAAACUCGGGCUAAUACCGCAUGAUACCGAGAGGUCAAAGGGGGCGUCGCAAGGGCUCUCGCCAUAGGAGGAGUCCGCGUCCGAUUAGCUAGUUGGUAGGGUAAUGGCCUACCAAGGCGACGAUCGGUAGCCGGCCUGAGAGGGUGAUCGGCCACACUGGAACUGAGACACGGUCCAG
This 240-nucleotide ribosomal RNA is filed under the name uncultured bacterium. RNAcentral's name for it is "partial 16S ribosomal RNA". It matches the Rfam family "Bacterial small subunit ribosomal RNA", at positions 92 to 334 of the family's 1533-position model. The record is from RNAcentral.